AGUGAACGCUGGCGGUAGGCCUAACACAUGCAAGUCGAACGGCAGCACAGUAAGAGCUUGCUCUUACGGGUGGCGAGUGGCGGACGGGUGAGGAAUACAUCGGAAUCUACUUUUUCGUGGGGGAUAACGUAGGGAAACUUACGCUAAUACCGCAUACGACCUACGGGUGAAAGCAGGGGAUCUUCGGACCUUGCGCGAUUGAAUGAGCCGAUGUCGGAUUAGCUAGUUGGCGGGGUAAAGGCCCACCAAGGCGAGGAUCCGUAGCUGGACUGAGAGGAUGAUCAGCCACCCUGGAACUGAGACACGGUCCAGACUACUAAGGGAGGCCGCAGUGGGGAAUAUUGGACAAUGGGGGCAAGCAUGAUCCAGCCAUACCGAGUGGGUGAAGAAGGCCUUCGGGUUGUAAAGCCCUUUUGUUGGGAAAGAAAAGCAGCAGGUUAAUACCCCGCUGUUCUGACGGUACCGAAAGAAUAAGCACCGGCUAACUUCGUG
This 492-nucleotide ribosomal RNA is filed under the name uncultured bacterium. Its description in RNAcentral is "partial 16S ribosomal RNA". It matches the Rfam family "Bacterial small subunit ribosomal RNA", at positions 29 to 507 of the family's 1533-position model. The record is from RNAcentral.